Nicotiana attenuata is the source of this 112-nucleotide non-coding RNA. The record is from Rfam. Lineage: Eukaryota; Viridiplantae; Streptophyta; Magnoliopsida; Solanales; Solanaceae.
GGUGAUCUAUCCAUGACCAGGAUGAAGCUUGGGUGAAACUAACUGGAGGUCCGACCGACUGAUGUUGAAGAAUCAGCGGGUGAGUUGUGGUUAGGGGUGAAAAGUCGAAACC